Molecule: ribosomal RNA, 1258 nt
Filed under: Acinetobacter oleivorans
Lineage: Bacteria; Pseudomonadati; Pseudomonadota; Gammaproteobacteria; Moraxellales; Moraxellaceae
Description: bacterial SSU rRNA
Rfam family: Bacterial small subunit ribosomal RNA
Source: RNAcentral
CUUAGCGGCGGACGGGUGAGUAAUGCUUAGGAAUCUGCCUAUUAGUGGGGGACAACAUUUCGAAAGGAAUGCUAAUACCGCAUACGUCCUACGGGAGAAAGCAGGGGAUCUUCGGACCUUGCGCUAAUAGAUGAGCCUAAGUCGGAUUAGCUAGUUGGUGGGGUAAAGGCCUACCAAGGCGACGAUCUGUAGCGGGUCUGAGAGGAUGAUCCGCCACACUGGGACUGAGACACGGCCCAGACUCCUACGGGAGGCAGCAGUGGGGAAUAUUGGACAAUGGGCGGAAGCCUGAUCCAGCCAUGCCGCGUGUGUGAAGAAGGCCUUAUGGUUGUAAAGCACUUUAAGCGAGGAGGAGGCUACUUUAGUUAAUACCUAGAGAUAGUGGACGUUACUCGCAGAAUAAGCACCGGCUAACUCUGUGCCAGCAGCCGCGGUAAUACAGAGGGUGCAAGCGUUAAUCGGAUUUACUGGGCGUAAAGCGCGCGUAGGCGGCUAAAUUAAGUCAAAUGUGAAAUCCCCGAGCUUAACUUGGGAAUUGCAUUCGAUACUGGUUAGCUAGAGUGUGGGAGAGGAUGGUAGAAUUCCAGGUGUAGCGGUGAAAUGCGUAGAGAUCUGGAGGAAUACCGAUGGCGAAGGCAGCCAUCUGGCCUAACACUGACGCUGAGGUGCGAAAGCAUGGGGAGCAAACAGGAUUAGAUACCCUGGUAGUCCAUGCCGUAAACGAUGUCUACUAGCCGUUGGGGCCUUUGAGGCUUUAGUGGCGCAGCUAACGCGAUAAGUAGACCGCCUGGGGAGUACGGUCGCAAGACUAAAACUCAAAUGAAUUGACGGGGGCCCGCACAAGCGGUGGAGCAUGUGGUUUAAUUCGAUGCAACGCGAAGAACCUUACCUGGCCUUGACAUAGUAAGAACUUUCCAGAGAUGGAUUGGUGCCUUCGGGAACUUACAUACAGGUGCUGCAUGGCUGUCGUCAGCUCGUGUCGUGAGAUGUUGGGUUAAGUCCCGCAACGAGCGCAACCCUUUUCCUUAUUUGCCAGCGAGUAAUGUCGGGAACUUUAAGGAUACUGCCAGUGACAAACUGGAGGAAGGCGGGGACGACGUCAAGUCAUCAUGGCCCUUACGGCCAGGGCUACACACGUGCUACAAUGGUCGGUACAAAGGGUUGCUACCUAGCGAUAGGAUGCUAAUCUCAAAAAGCCGAUCGUAGUCCGGAUUGGAGUCUGCAACUCGACUCCAUGAAGUCGGAAUCGCUAGUAAUC